UACGUAGGGGGCAAGCGUUAUCCGGAAUCAUUGGGCGUAAAGCGCGUGUAGGCGGUUCCGUAAGUCCGCUCUGAAAGCCCAGGGCUCAACCUUGGAAUUGCCUUUGAUACUGGCUGUCUUGAGUUCGGGAGAGGUGAGUGGAAUGCCGAGUGUAGAGGUGAAAUUCGUAGAUAUUCGGCGGAACACCAGUGGCGAAGGCGACUCACUGGCCCGAUACUGACGCUGAGGCGCGAAAGCGUGGGGAGCAAACAGG
This 253-nucleotide ribosomal RNA is filed under the name uncultured bacterium. Its description in RNAcentral is "partial 16S ribosomal RNA". It matches the Rfam family "Bacterial small subunit ribosomal RNA", at positions 524 to 776 of the family's 1533-position model. The record is from RNAcentral.